AGUAUGGAGCCGGUAUCAGGCCUACGCCAACGACACCACGCUAUGCCACACCCACACGGGCCUGCAGCAGUAACAGACAUUAGGCAAUUGGCGAAAGCCAGACCUAGUUAUGAUCAAGAAGGUUGGUAAAAUUCGUGCCAGCGACCGCGGUUAUACGAAUAACCUAAAAUAAUGGAAACGGCGUAAACAUGACCAGAGUUUAGGGAAGAGACUAAGACUUGCUGUAAAAUGCCAAAUCUAAAAAAACCUCACAGCCCUAACGCCCUUGACUCAUGAAAGCCAAGAAACAAACUAGGAUUAGAUACCCUACUAUGCUUGGCAGAAACAAGGCUCCAGCCCGCCAGAUAACUACGAGUGAAAACUUAAAACUCAAAGGACUUGACGGUGUCCCACACACAACCUAGAGGAGCCUGUCCUAUAAUCGAUAAUCCACGAUAGACCCUACCACCUUUAGCCAAACAAUCUAUAUACCGCCGUCGGAAGUCUACCUUUUGAAAGAAAAAAAGUGAACAAAAUAGCCCUCGCUAGCAUGACAGGUCAAGGUGUAGUUAAUAGGGUGGUCAGAGAUGGGCUACACUUCCUUAGUAAAGGAGAUACGAACAGCAUAAUGAAACCACGCUAGAAGGCGGAUUUAGUAGUAAGAUGGGAUUAGAAAGUCCAUUUGAACACAUUGCCCUGGGACGCGUACACACCGCCCGUCACCCCUAUCGAU
This 712-nucleotide ribosomal RNA is filed under the name Anilios leptosoma (Murchison blind snake). RNAcentral describes it as "partial 12S ribosomal RNA". It matches the Rfam family "Bacterial small subunit ribosomal RNA", at positions 79 to 1410 of the family's 1533-position model. The record is from RNAcentral. Lineage: Eukaryota; Metazoa; Chordata; Lepidosauria; Squamata; Typhlopidae.